Non-coding RNA from Oryctolagus cuniculus (rabbit), 529 nucleotides. NCBI's taxonomy places the organism in Eukaryota, Metazoa, Chordata, Mammalia, Lagomorpha, Leporidae. The record is from the annotation of a RefSeq genome assembly.
CCAGCCCCAGCACUCCCAGGUGUCCACUCAGUGAGCGCACUCAACACCGACGCUCACCAUGGAGACUGGGCUGCGCUGGCUUCUCCUGGUCGCUGUGCUCAAAGGUGUCCAGUGUCAGGAGCAGCUGGUGGAGUCCCGGGGAGGCCUGGUCCAGCCUGGGGGAUCCCUGAAACACUCCUGCAAAGCCUCUGAGUUCGACCUCAGUAGCUAUGCAAUGUGCUGGGUCCGCCAGGCUCCAGGGAAGGGGCUGGAGUGGAAUGGAGAAAUUAAUCCUAAUGGUGGUAGCACAUGGUAUGCGAGCAGGGUAAAUGGCCGAUUCACCGUCUCCAGAAACAACGUCAAGAGCACGCUGGAUCUGCAAAUGAGCAGUCUGACAGCCGCGGACACGUCCCUCUAUUACUGUGCAAGAGACACAGAUCUGCAAACUCAGGGCCUUCAACUUCUGCCCCUGGAAACCUACAUGAUGCUCAGCGCUGACUGGAUGAAAUCUGUUGUGAAGGAGCCCAAAGGGGCUCAGGCCUUAAUGUGA